Molecule: long non-coding RNA, 2021 nt
Organism: Chlorocebus sabaeus (green monkey)
Lineage: Eukaryota; Metazoa; Chordata; Mammalia; Primates; Cercopithecidae
Source: RefSeq, a predicted model, not a curated record
CGCGCGAGUACCAAUCGAAGGCCGGAUGUGGCCCUAGUGGGAGGAGAGGGCCGGGUUGAGGGUCGUGGGGUCCUAGCGCCAAACUGACGAGGGGGCGGAGAAGGUGGGCGGGACUAAAUCGCCCUAGCCUGUGACGUGCGGUGUAGUUGGGGAAACGCACCGUGGUUCCCCGUCGGGUCAGGAGAUCCCAAGCCUCAGGCUGGCGUGGGCGAAGCGUACAGUCCCUUCACCUUUCGCAACCCAGAAGCACAAGAGUCCAGUUCGCGCCAACUGACCUGUUUCUUCCUUCCUCUCCGGCACUCCGGGAGUCCUGAGAUUGCCUUGCUCGGUUCGUAGGUCUGAGCUUCUCCACCAAGGGUGCUCAGAUUCUCCAGGAAACUCCCCUCAGGGUUAGCAACCGCGGAGUGGGUUUCGGUCCCAAGAUAGAAAGUUUGCAACAGACACAGCAGCUAUGUUACAACCACAGAACAAGGUUUUGCAACAGAAUGGCCUUGAAAUAGAAUACUGCCCAGUUGAAACCUUAAGCAAUCAAAAUGGAAUAUAUGAAACCAUGCCUACUAGACUUCAUGUGUUGCUUCUUGUAAGGAAAGGUAUUGCCUUUUCAGGAGAAUGUUACUCUUUAAGUGGCGGUUUACCCUCUCUGUAUCAGAGUUCUCAAUUGCUGUAAUAUUCAGACAUAGCAGUGCAACUAAGACAUAAUCCUAUUGUCUAAAGUGUUACUUUAUGUCACUAAAAUGCAGCUUCAGAAAAUGUAUGUGCACAACUACUUGGUAAAAGUCACUGGUAAAAACUUACUGUAAAUGUCUACCUACCUGAACUCCAUUAGCACGUGAAUUUAAUAGCUGCAGUAGUGCUCAGAAACCAAAGCCUGUUUGUCAAAAAUGCGUUAAUCUCUUUCUCUCUCAUUUUUUUUUUUCUUCAAGAGGCCUCAUUACUUAGGCCCCAGAUGACUUGCUUGGGUUUCAAAGUGUUUUCUUUUUCCUCAGUUUUGUUUCUGAUAUGAAAUUGAAAUGAUAAAUAGCAACAUGUGGGCCACCCUGAUACACUGAAAAUUCUCCUUAGGCUACACAUGGUUCAUGAUAACUGUGUAAUAUGCUGCCAUUAGUACUGCUUAUCUGGCCAUCUCAAAAUAUUUUGUAAACACAGUGUAUCCACUCAAGGCCAGCCUAGUGGGAGUAACUCUUCCACAUUUUUCUCCAUUCCUACAUGCAUAAGGUUAUUUUUAAUGUGGAAACUUGAACAAUUUUUUUGAAGUUUUUUUUUCAGCAAUUGUGGGUAGACAUUUAUAAAAUUGACAUUUUAUAAAAAUGUCACAUGCCAGUGGCCAACAGGUUAGUAAUAGGGCUUUCGUAACCACACACAGUGCAUCCAGCCAAUCAUCAGUCUCAUACGCUAUCAAAUAGUUUUAAUUGUGUGACUGGGGGCACUAUUUUAAGACAAUUAGGUGAAACUGAACCCUCAGAAUAAGCACGAUUCCAGGGCAAUAUAGAAUACCAGUUUCCUUUGCUCUUUUUUUUUUUUUUUUCCUAUGCAAGAUUUUUGAUUUCUUGACUGGUUGGAAUAACUUACUUUAGGUGAUCUUGGCAUUGGUUGAAUUUUUCUAUAAAUUAAGAUUUGUGUUAAGUAGUUUAAUAGAAACUCAUGUACCGAAUAAGCUGUUAUAUAUAAGCACUCUUAAAUCCUUCCUUAUAUAGCACUUGAAGCUGUAAGAAGUUACAUAAAAUUGUCUUCACGUAAUCUAUUUUGUUUCAUAAUGAAAAGUGAUUGUUCACCUGUUACAUAUAACAGGACCAAAGGAUGGUGAAAGUUUGACCUGAAAAGUGAAGAAUCUCUUGCAUUUGUGAGUGUCUAUAUAAUGCAAAGAAAAGUGAAGAUUUGAUGUGUACUCAGUUCUAGUUAUUUUGAGAAAUGGGGAAAAUUAGUCUGGACUUUGUGGUCUAAAUUAUUUCAUUUGGAUUGGACUCUUGGGUUUGACUCUUUAUAUUAAAAAAAAUACUAUUGCUCAAAAAAAAAAAAAAAAA